UGGGGAAUCUUGGACAAUGGGGGCAACCCUGAUCCAGCCAUGCCGCGUGAGUGAUGAAGGCCUUAGGGUCGUAAAGCUCUUUCGCCUGUGAAGAUAAUGACGGUAGCAGGUAAAGAAACCCCGGCUAACUCCGUGCCAGCAGCCGCGGUAAUACGGAGGGGGUUAGCGUUGUUCGGAAUUACUGGGCGUAAAGCGCACGUAGGCGGACCAGAAAGUUGGGGGUGAAAUCCCGGGGGCUCAACCCCGGAACUGCCUCCAAAACUAUUGGUCUAGAGUUCGAGAGAGGUGAGUGGAAUUCCAAGUGUAGAGGUGAAAUUCGUAGAUAUUCGGAGGAACACCAGUGGCGAAGGCGGCUCACUGGCUCGAUACUGACGCUGAGGUGCGAAAGUGUGGGGAGCAAACAGGAUUAGAUACCCUGGUAGUCCACACCGUAAACGAUGAAU
This 443-nucleotide ribosomal RNA is filed under the name uncultured bacterium. RNAcentral describes it as "bacterial SSU rRNA". It matches the Rfam family "Bacterial small subunit ribosomal RNA", at positions 355 to 814 of the family's 1533-position model. The record is from RNAcentral.